Molecule: signal recognition particle RNA, 303 nt
Filed under: Prolemur simus (greater bamboo lemur)
Lineage: Eukaryota; Metazoa; Chordata; Mammalia; Primates; Lemuridae
Description: Metazoan signal recognition particle RNA (ENSPSMG00000019814.1)
Rfam family: Metazoan signal recognition particle RNA
About the family: The signal recognition particle (SRP) is a universally conserved ribonucleoprotein. It is involved in the co-translational targeting of proteins to membranes.
Source: RNAcentral
GCUGGGUGUGGUGGUGAGCACCUGUAGCCCCAGCUACUCUGGAGGCUGAGGCGGGAGGAUUGCUUGAGCAGGAGUUCUAGGCUAUAGUGUAUUAUGCCAAUUGAGUGUCUGCAGUAAGUCCAGCAUCAAUAUGGUGACCUCCCAGGAGUGGGGAACCACCAGGUUACCUUAGAAGGAGUGAACCGGUCCAAAUGAGAAAUGUAGGAGGUCAAAACUCCCAUGCUGAUCAGUAGUGGGAUCGCAUAAUGCCUGUGAAUAGCCACUGCCCUCCAGCUUGGGCAACAUAGUGAGACUCCUGUCUCU